Long non-coding RNA from Daphnia magna, 765 nucleotides. RefSeq lists it as uncharacterized. The transcript has 4 exons. The record is from RefSeq and is a predicted model, not a curated record. Lineage: Eukaryota; Metazoa; Arthropoda; Branchiopoda; Diplostraca; Daphniidae.
UUGUCGUCUGCUUUAAUUCGUCCACGUUAUCGGCCUGUCGGGGUUCAAUCUGCGUGUCUUCCUCUGAGCGCUGAGGCUAAUUCGAAUGAAUAGAAAAGUAAAAAAAGAAAUUUGUUUGUGGGUAUAACAUUUCGUAGCUAGCUUUGUGCAUUCGUCGUAGUUUGAAUGUUUAAAAUUUUGAAUGUUGUGCAAUAACACAAUCGUAAACUCGUUCGUUUGGAUUGUGUGCUCUCAUUAUUUAAGAUUGAUGAGUUUAUGAGGGCAAUAGUAUGUGCAAAAUGUAGUCACAAGAUCAAUCUUUUUUCCCUCUGAUGAGGCUCAGAUCUUCGAUUGUUAGACCCAUUAUGGCAAUGCCGAACUAUCACUCUAGGGAUAUCUGCAAUCAUUGAUUAAUUGGCUACUGGUUGUUUGAAAUGAGGUGUAGCUGUGUCUGAAGAAUGCAUAUUCAAUUGUUCAGGGUAUAUGCAUAACAAGGGUUCAGGAAGCAGAGCAAGAUAGAAACAUUCUGUUAACAAGCCAGAGCAAUAUCAUACUCUCUUCACCUGUAAAGUCAUUGCCAGUUGCCAUCAGUUACUUGAAACUUGCGUGUCGGGUCAUAUCUAUUGCAGUGACAUAGAUGAAAUGGCAUUUGUCUCCACAAGAGGCGCUGAAAACAGAUGCCCAGCAGGUAGCGUUGGAAGCUGUUGCACACUAGGUGGCUGUAAAACGCUAGGAUAUUAGAUGCUGUUAGGGAAUAGGGAGGCUCAAUAAAUUCGUCAAUGUCGA